Molecule: long non-coding RNA, 3283 nt
Filed under: Sus scrofa (pig)
Lineage: Eukaryota; Metazoa; Chordata; Mammalia; Artiodactyla; Suidae
Description: lncRNA (ENSSSCG00000056466.1)
Source: RNAcentral
UUCCUUUUUACAACCACACCUGCGUCAUAUGGAAAUUCCUGGGCUAGGUGUCAAAUCAAACAAAUCAGAGCUGUAGCUGCUGGCCUAUACCACAGCCAUAGCAACUACGGUUCCGAGCUGCAUUUGGGAGACCUACACCAGAGCUUGCAGCGACGCCAGAGCCUUAACCCACUGAGCAAGGCCAGGGAUCAAAUCCACACCCUCAUGGACACUAUGUCGGGUUCUUAAUUUGAUGAGCCACAACAGGAACUCAUCAUUUUAGACUUUUGACCCCUAGAAUUGUGAGAUAAUAAAUUUGCAUUGUUUUAAGCUAUUAAGUACAUAGUCAUUUGUGACAGCAGCAAUAGGCAACUUACACAUUUCUUUAAAUUCAGACUUAACGAGGCUUCUCCCCUUCCAGAGGCCUUCAUCUAGAUCCUGGGGAUUUGUCAUGGUGCUAAGAUACUGAGAGGGGUACACACCUGGACAGGCAUCCAUCCCCAUGCAGCUGCUGACAAAGGGCUAUUUCCCCCUGUGUGGCCCCUUCAGCCCCAUGGAUCCCUCUGCUGCCCCAGAACACAGAAUCAGGAAGAAGCUACAAGGAUAAUUGACCUUCUGCUUCCAGAGGCAGCAACAUCGAUUGUAGGAAAAGCAAGAAAAAAUGUCAUAAGAUGUCCUAAAUAUAAAGCUGUUUCCUUUUUUCUGCUUUUACCUGGUACUGUAUUUGCUAUUUAAAGCUAGUCUAAGAAAAGAAAAAUUAAAAUAUGAAACAAUUACCAUGAAUAUCACUAUUCAUCUUUACAUUGUGCAAUGCCAGUUUUAAAAGAAGAUACAGGAGCAUUUGCACAAUUCCUAAAUUACGCAAUUUGUCACAGGCAGCUAGAACAUACGUGUGGAUUUCGUUUUUACCAGAACUGUGGAAACUCUGCAGGAAACUAACUCAACUGCUUUUAUUUCACUUCUAGACAUACGCAUGGUCUACCAACACACUCUACCUUCUGGUUGCUCAUGGGUCGGGAAGACUGGAAGGAAAGGCACUGCGGUUGUCCCGUCAUUCCCUUUCCUUCCAUGUCAUUGAUUUCAGCACAAGUGGUUGAUGACCACAAGGACCAUGAGGACGUACACAAGGAAGAGAGGAUAUGCUGGGUUCCUUGGUUGAGGUCAGUCCCAUUUCUUAGGCGCCAUCACCUACCUUCUGUUCUUGAAGCAAGUUCUGGAUCUGAUGGGAAACUUGGGCCCCCAGGGCUGUCUGUGCAGUGCCCUUGAUCACUCUGUCACAGACAGAACAUACUCUGUUGAGUCCACUGGAAUUGACUGCAAAACAGUCCUCUGCUCAUGCAUAUGCUCGGUUUUCCCACCACACUUCAACGACAAAACAAGUUCAAUGUGGUUUUGAAGAAGGCAGCCCCAGAGCAUUAAACCAAGCACAUGGUCCUUCUGAGAGCUACUUCUGCCCUGGACUCUUACUUCUUCCCUAAGCCUUCUGUCUAGGAUGUUGGGCUCAAGGACCCUGUCCUUCAUUUCUCCCUGUCCCCACUUUCCCAAGUCCAAAGGAAUCUUUACCUAUGUGGGGAGAAAGGAAAUGAAUCUUUCUCCUCUAUUUUUUCCUAAACCUUGGGUCUAUACCUAGAAUCCUCUCCAUUGCCCUAAGGACUUAGGCCAUAUGCACAGCCCCAAAAAGCAUGAAGGCUUCGAAUGCCCUUUUCAGUCCCAUUCUUACUCAUUUCCAAGGUGGCCACUGGCGAGCUUCCUGGGCUCUUCACUCCGUUUUCUGGAUCCUCACUUCCCCUUGGGGCAUGUCCGGUCUUACUUACUCCCCAGAUGGGAUUGGUAAAGGUAACUUAGCCUAACCUAGCCUUUUUUUUUUUUUUCUUGAAGUCUAUGAUUCUUAACAUUUUGUUCCAGUUGCAAAGUCACGCCAGGCUGUACUUCUUAGGACUGGUGACUCCUCCAGGUGGCAAGACUCUGGGAGCCUCUUUAAGGAAUUUUGCUCUCCAGGGCCAGUACAUUAUGGGUUAAAUAGAAUUGUGUAGGUCAGCGUAAGCUAGUUCUCUGAGGCACUGAAAAUUAUGUUAUCUCUCUCUAAUUGUGUAAUAAAAUAUGACUGACAUAUAAAUUCCAUUUCUCUUCCAAUGCACAUUCUUAUAAAAACUCAAUAAAAUAGUUUUUAUUGAGAAGAACAGGUUCUGAUACUUCUUUUAGCUUCCUCAACAGGUUGCCAGCUUUCUUUUACAUAUAAAUAAGGUGGAUGCAGUUAAUUACAUGCUUAAAUGCAAGUGUAUUUAAAAUAUUUUAUUAUUACUGUCGAAGUCAUUACUCAAAGGUAAUGUGAAAACCAUAUGCAAUUGCACAGACUGAAGAUACUUUUAUUUUAAGGUUUUCUGCCUUAAAGGAGGAAAGUGUCAUAAAAUCCUGAAAAAAACACAUCUCUCCUAAAAACUUUAUCAGCAUGCCUGUGUAGAUUAAAAAGAAAAAUUCCCCUUUGUGAGUCUAUGUGUGUGUAGGUGGACGGAAGGACUUUUAGAACUAUUUACAAUCAUUUGUUUAUAUUGUUCACAGAUGAAGAGGAAAAAAAAAUCCCUGGCAAAGUAAAAACCAGUUUAAUUGCUUUUCUCUUCUGUAUGAUCUCAUCGAAAUAAAAUCCUCAAGCCUGAUUCUUCCAAACAAGAUCAAAUUGUUUUGCAUUUAUACGGCUCCCUGUUUAUUUAUUAAAAUCCUUCUUGAGAGCAUGUAACAUCAAGAAGAAAAAGAACGAAACUUGCAGGUUACAGGUGUUAAGGCUGACCAACAGUUGUGUAUUUAUACUCCACUCCAGGGGGCGCCAUUGACAUUGCACUCUGCAUCAGGCCACCAGUGACCCUGGCAUCCACUUUCCUGUUGUUUCUUAAUGUUUCUUCUUAUUUCUAAAUUUGGAGCAGAGGUUAGGAACAUGGUGACUGCUUAGUCUUAAAUCUUCCCACUUCUCCUGGAAACCAAAUAGAGCAGCAAGGAGAAUAAAAAUAAAGCCAUGAAAUACAUCUUCGGUGAAAAUAGGAGACAGAGAAAAAUUCACAACUCCAAAUUAUGUGUAAAUGUAGCCAAAAGAAACUAAGACCAGCAAGUACUGAGCAGGAAGCUGCCACAAUGUAGUGGGCAAGAAUAGAGAGCUUAGAGUGGGUCUUUCGGUAUCAAAUGUUAGAAAUCAACAAAUAUCCCAACCUGGGUAAAACCUAUUUGGACAGAAAUUAAAUAUGCCAGGGCAUCAUGCUGGAGAAGGUGGACAGAGGCAUGAAAAUUAGUGAGGAGAACCCAGAAAAGGCAAAUC